RNAcentral lists this ribosomal RNA (540 nucleotides) under Triticum aestivum (bread wheat). Its description in RNAcentral is "partial small subunit ribosomal RNA". The record is from RNAcentral. Lineage: Eukaryota; Viridiplantae; Streptophyta; Magnoliopsida; Poales; Poaceae.
AUGAGCAAGGCGUAUGAUCUAGUCGAAUGGAGUUUUUUAAGAGAUAUGAUGAGGAAAAUGGGAUUUAGCACAUGGUGGAUCCAGUUAAUCAUGAAAUGUGUUACUACGGUGCGCUAUCAGAUAAAGGUCAAUCAUGAUGUAACAAAUGCCAUUACCCCUAGCAGAGGCCUGAGACAAGAAAGGAGCAAAAAGAUUCAAGGAAUAAAAGUCUCAAGAAGGGCUCCAAGUGUGAACCAUCUGCUCUUUGCAGAUGAUUCCUUACUACUAAUGAAGGUUGAGGACAGAAGCAUGAAAGAAGUGGAUCAAAUCUUGCAGCAGUAUGCAGAUUGCUCUGGACAAGUAAUUAACAAAGACAAAUCUGCUGUCAUGUUCAGCAAAAAUACUCCUCGGGAAAAGAGACAUGCCACAAUGCAGAUUUUGAACCUGAAUUGUGAAGCCAAAACAGAGAAAUACCUGGGAUUUCCCAUCUAUAUCGGAAAGUCAAAGUCAAAAACAUUUGCAUACCUAAAGGAUAUGAUUUGGAGAAAGAUCCAAGGCUGA